UACGGAGGGUGCAAGCGUUAAUCGGAAUUACUAGGCGUCAAGGGCACGCAGGUGGCUUGGCAAGUCGGGUGUGAAAGCCCCGGGCUCAACCUGGGAAUUGCAUUCGAUACUGCCGAGCUAGAGGAGGGGAGAGGAAAGUGGAAUUCCCGGUGUAGCGGUGAAAUGCGUAGAUAUCGGGAGGAACAUCAGUGGCGAAGGCGGCUUUCUGGCCCAAUACUGACACUCAUGUGCGAAAGCGUGGGGAGCAAACAGG
This 253-nucleotide unclassified non-coding RNA is filed under the name uncultured Gammaproteobacteria bacterium. RNAcentral describes it as "contains 16S-23S intergenic spacer region". It matches the Rfam family "Bacterial small subunit ribosomal RNA", at positions 524 to 776 of the family's 1533-position model. Lineage: Bacteria; Pseudomonadati; Pseudomonadota; Gammaproteobacteria. The record is from RNAcentral.